This 548-nucleotide ribosomal RNA is filed under the name uncultured bacterium. Its description in RNAcentral is "bacterial SSU rRNA". It matches the Rfam family "Bacterial small subunit ribosomal RNA", at positions 38 to 573 of the family's 1533-position model. The record is from RNAcentral.
GGCGGCAUGCCUAACACAUGCAAGUUGAGCGAUAACCAAGGGGCUUGCUCUUUGGGGACAGCAGCGCACGGGUGAGUAACGCGCGGAUAACGUGCCCUAGGGUUGGGAAUAACCCACCGAAAGGUGAGCUAAUACCGAAUGUGUUCCGCUGGAGUGAGCUUCGGCGGAAGAAAGCAGGGUUAAACCUGCGCCCAAGGAUCGGUCCGCGUUCCAUCAGCUAGUUGGUGGGGUAAUGGCCUACCAAGGCUACGACGGAUAGCUGGUCUGAGAGGAUGAUCAGCCACACUGGGACUGAGACACGGCCCAGACUCCUACGGGAGGCAGCAGUGGGGAAUAUUGGUCAAUGGGCGAAAGCCUGAACCAGCAAUGCCGCGUGAGUGAUGAAGGCCUUAGGGUUGUAAAGCUCUGUCAGUGGGAACGAAUAAGCCGAUUAAUACUCGGUGGUGACGGUACCCACAAAGGAAGCACCGGCUAACUCUGUGCCAGCAGCCGCGGUAAUACAGAAGGUGCAAGCGUUGUUCGGAAUUACUGGGCGUAAAGCGCGUGUA